AUUGAUGGUACAGCACUUUAAAGGCCCUCGCUUUAGGCGAUGGCUCCUUUCAUAACUUCCUAACUUUCAGGACCUGAAGGACUCAUCUCCUAUGCCUGUGUGUGUCACUAGGCUUUUGAGACAGCUUUAGAAAGGAAGGAAAUACUGUCGUAAACUACAACAUGAAUGAACCUUGAAGACAUUAUGCUAAGUGAAAUAAGCCUGUCACAGAAAAAAAAAUACGGUAUGAUUCCACUUGUAUGAAAUAUUUAAAGUAAGAAAAUUCAUAGAAAUACAAAAUAAAUGGUGGUCACUAGAGGCUGGAGAAAGGGGGAAAAGGAAGGUUGUUGUUUAAU
Molecule: long non-coding RNA, 335 nt
Filed under: Homo sapiens (human)
Lineage: Eukaryota; Metazoa; Chordata; Mammalia; Primates; Hominidae
Description: HSALNT0336329
Source: RNAcentral